AGCUUUGGAAAGAGGCCAUGAGAUGGCAUCUGCUAUCUGGGUAGGUCAACUCAUAUUGGACAUGCGUUGCUUGCCCUUUGACAAAUUAGAGCAUUGGUCCGGCAUGUGUCUCAUUUCUUGUCCUGUUUGUCUGAACAUCUCGACGCAGAAAACAUCCAUGUCGAAAUGCCGAACUUUUGUAGUUUUGUUUGGCAGUGUCAUGCAUGCAUCACGCUUUCCCUUGAACGGUCUUUUAUCAAUGUUCGGCGGACCGGAUGAUUCCUGGAGAGGGAAAGCAGGACAAGUUCGAGAUCUUCACUAGUUCCAGA
Molecule: long non-coding RNA, 308 nt
Filed under: Eucalyptus grandis
Lineage: Eukaryota; Viridiplantae; Streptophyta; Magnoliopsida; Myrtales; Myrtaceae
Description: long non-coding RNA (EGRA_LNC001781)
Source: RNAcentral